GCAGUCAGAGGCGAUGAAGGACGUGCUAAUCUGCGAUAAGCGUCGGUGAGGUGAUAUGAACCGUUAUAACCGGCGAUUUCCGAAUGGGGAAACCCAGUGUGUUUCGACACACUAUCAUUAACUGAAUCCAUAGGUUAAUGAGGCGAACCGGGGGAACUGAAACAUCUAAGUACCCCGAGGAAAAGAAAUCAACCGAGAUUCCCCCAGUAGCGGCGAGCGAACGGGGAGGAGCCCAGAGCCUGAAUCAGUGUGUGUGUUAGUGGAAGCGUCUGGAAAGGCGUGCGAUACAGGGUGACAGCCCCGUACACAAAAAUGCACAUAUUGUGAGCUCGAUGAGUAGGGCGGGACACGUGGUAUCCUGUCUGAAUAUGGGGGGACCAUCCUCCAAGGCUAAAUACUCCUGACUGACCGAUAGUGAACCAGUACCGUGAGGGAAAGGCGAAAAGAACCCCGGCGAGGGGAGUGAAAAAGAACCUGAAACCGUGUACGUACAAGCAGUGGGAGCCUCUUAAUGGGGUGACUGCGUACCUUUUGUAUAAUGGGUCAGCGACUUAUAUUCUGUAGCAAGGUUAACCGAAUAGGGGAGCCGAAGGGAAACCGAGUCUUAACUGGGCGUUAAGUUGCAGGGUAUAGACCCGAAACCCGGUGAUCUAGCCAUGGGCAGGUUGAAGGUUGGGUAACACUAACUGGAGGACCGAACCGACUAAUGUUGAAAAAUUAGCGGAUGACUUGUGGCUGGGGGUGAAAGGCCAAUCAAACCGGGAGAUAGCUGGUUCUCCCCGAAAGCUAUUUAGGUAGCGCCUCGUGAAUUCAUCUCCGGGGGUAGAGCACUGUUUCGGCAAGGGGGUCAUCCCGACUUACCAACCCGAUGCAAACUGCGAAUACCGGAGAAUGUUAUCACGGGAGACACACGGCGGGUGCUAACGUCCGUCGUGAAGAGGGAAACAACCCAGACCGCCAGCUAAGGUCCCAAAGUCAUGGUUAAGUGGGAAACGAUGUGGGAAGGCCCAGACAGCCAGGAUGUUGGCUUAGAAGCAGCCAUCAUUUAAAGAAAGCGUAAUAGCUCACUGGUCGAGUCGGCCUGCGCGGAAGAUGUAACGGGGCUAAACCAUGCACCGAAGCUGCGGCAGCGACACUAUGUGUUGUUGGGUAGGGGAGCGUUCUGUAAGCCUGUGAAGGUGGCCUGUGAGGGUUGCUGGAGGUAUCAGAAGUGCGAAUGCUGACAUAAGUAACGAUAAAGCGGGUGAAAAGCCCGCUCGCCGGAAGACCAAGGGUUCCUGUCCAACGUUAAUCGGGGCAGGGUGAGUCGACCCCUAAGGCGAGGCCGAAAGGCGUAGUCGAUGGGAAACAGGUUAAUAUUCCUGUACUUGGUGUUACUGCGAAGGGGGGACGGAGAAGGCUAUGUUGGCCGGGCGACGGUUGUCCCGGUUUAAGCGUGUAGGCUGGUUUUCCAGGCAAAUCCGGAAAACC
This 1470-nucleotide ribosomal RNA is filed under the name Escherichia coli. RNAcentral's name for it is "partial 23S ribosomal RNA". It matches the Rfam family "Bacterial large subunit ribosomal RNA", at positions 36 to 1551 of the family's 2925-position model. The record is from RNAcentral. Lineage: Bacteria; Pseudomonadati; Pseudomonadota; Gammaproteobacteria; Enterobacterales; Enterobacteriaceae.